UAGGAAGGGUGUGUCCACGGGUGUCUUGAGGCCAGUGUCUGAUGGAAGUCGAUGGCAGAUACAAAGACUGCACAAGCUCAGCUGAUCCCCGGGACAGCGUGGCGCAGUGGAAGAGUGGCCGUGCGCAACCCGAGGGUCCCUGGUUCAAUCCCCACCUAGUACCAACAUCAUCACGUCCGUUGUGUCCUGAGCAAGACACUUCACCCUUGCUCCUGAUGGGUGCUGGUUAGCGCCUUGCAUAGCAGCUCCCUCCAUCAGUGUGUGAAUGGGUGAAUGUGGAAGUAGUGUCAAAGCGCUUUGAGUACCUUGAAGGUAGAAAAGUGCUAUACAAGUACAACCCAUUUAUCAUUUAACCCAUUUAUGACUAUUGUAUAUUGUCACUGAAGGCAUCAACACUAUGAAUGAACACAUGUGGAGUUAUGUACUUAGCAAAAAAAAAGGAUAUAUAAUUGAAAACAUGUUUUUUUAAACAAGUUUUUUCAAAAUAGCCACUCUUGCUCUGAUUACUGCUUUGCACACUCAUGGCAUUCUCUCGAUGAGGUUCAAGCACACCUGUAAAGUGAAAAUCAUUUCAGGUUACUACCCCUUGAAGCUCAUCGGGAGAAUGCCAAGUGUGCGAAAAAGUAAUCAGAGCAAAGUUGAAAAACUUAUUCGGGUGUUACCAUUCAGUGGUCAAUUGUACGGAAUAUGUACCGUACUGUGCAAUCUACUAAUACAAGUAUCAAUCAAUAAAAAAAAAAAACAAUGAGCGAGUUGCAAUGGAAACAAGGGUCUGCCUAUGAAGAAGUUUUAUAACAGAGCAGUGGGUGGAAGUUGGUUGAGUGGAUAAUAACAACGUGACCUGCAUUCCACUGACAAUUAUGAGCUGACCUGAUCAAAAAAGUGGAAAAGUAGAAACUCAAGAUGGAGGAUUGGCGACAAUCAACAUGUUUCUUUCCCAAGUGGAAGUGCUCUUACCUGCGAUGUCCCACAGCUGCAGGCGGACCAGCGUCUUGCUGUCCCAGUUGAUGACUUUGAGGGCGAAGUCGACGCCGAUGGUGGCGCGGUAGUGCUGGGAGAAGAGCUGGUGCACGUAGCGCUUGAUGAUGCUGGUCUUGCCCACGCCCAGCUCGCCGAUCACCAGCACCUUGAACAAAAACUCCUUGCACUCCGACACCGAACCUCCGCCCAUGACGGCGACCUCAAAAACAACUUUUGGCGCUGCGUUGGCUGACUUGUUCAGACUAGCCGACUAACAUGGGGCGUGAGGACAGAAGAGGCUUUUCCCACCAAAAUAA
This is a long non-coding RNA of Nerophis ophidion (straightnose pipefish), 1277 nucleotides long. RefSeq lists it as uncharacterized. The record is from RefSeq and is a predicted model, not a curated record. NCBI's taxonomy places the organism in Eukaryota, Metazoa, Chordata, Actinopteri, Syngnathiformes, Syngnathidae. The transcript has 2 exons.